This 387-nucleotide ribosomal RNA is filed under the name uncultured bacterium. RNAcentral describes it as "bacterial SSU rRNA". It matches the Rfam family "Bacterial small subunit ribosomal RNA", at positions 28 to 416 of the family's 1533-position model. The record is from RNAcentral.
GACGAACGCUGGCGGCGUGCUUAACACAUGCAAGUCGAACGGUGACGGAGAGCUUGCUCUCCUGAUCAGUGGCGAACGGGUGAGUAACACGUGGGCAACCUGCCCCAGACUUCGGGAUAACGCUUCGAAAGAGGUGCUAAUACCAAAUACGAACCUCCCUGGCAUCUGGGAGGUUGGAAAGUUUUUCGGUCUGGGAUGGGCCCGCGGCCUAUCAGCUUGUUGGUGAGGUAACGGCUCACCAAGGCGACGACGGGUAGCCGGCCUGAGAGGGCGACCGGCCACACUGGGACUGAGACACGGCCCAGACUCCUACGGGAGGCAGCAGUGGGGAAUAUUGCGCAAUGGGCGAAAGCCUGACGCAGCAACGCCGCGUGAGGGAUGACGGCC